AGGGAAUCUUCGGCAAUGGGGGCAACCCUGACCGAGCAACGCCGCGUGAGUGAAGAAGGUUUUCGGAUCGUAAAGCUCUGUUGUAAGUCAAGAACGGGUGUGAGAGUGGAAAGUUCACACUGUGACGGUAGCUUACCAGAAAGGGACGGCUAACUACGUGCCAGCAGCCGCGGUAAUACGUAGGUCCCGAGCGUUGUCCGGAUUUAUUGGGCGUAAAGCGAGCGCAGGCGGUUUGAUAAGUCUGAAGUUAAAGGCUGUGGCUCAACCAUAGUUCGCUUUGGAAACUGUCAAACUUGAGUGCAGAAGGGGAGAGUGGAAUUCCAUGUGUAGCGGUGAAAUGCGUAGAUAUAUGGAGGAACACCGGUGGCGAAAGCGGCUCUCUGGUCUGUAACUGACGCUGAGGCUCGAAAGCGUGGGGAGCGAACAGGAUUAGAUACCCUGGUAGUCCACGCCGUAAACGAUGAGUGCUAGGUGUUGGAUCCUUUCCGGGAUUCAGUGCCGCAGCUAACGCAUUAAG
This 517-nucleotide ribosomal RNA is filed under the name uncultured bacterium. Its description in RNAcentral is "partial 16S ribosomal RNA". It matches the Rfam family "Bacterial small subunit ribosomal RNA", at positions 356 to 864 of the family's 1533-position model. The record is from RNAcentral.